AAUACAGAGGUUAAAAAGCCUGGGCUGUAAGGUUGCACGGGACGGUACUUGCCUGCCUGUGGGAUGUAAUACAACUUGUAGCCGGAGUAUCCACAUCGGGGCUGUGCUGCUGCCUACACUUAGUAAUAAAUUAUUGCUGUGACUCUAAACACUCUGCAAUGUAUCGGCGAUUCAUCUUUCAGUCGCCUGUUCCCACGCUGUCCGUUUUAUCUCGAUGGUUAAUUUAAUCCUGGCAGUAAUUGCUUCGCUUCUCUUAAAUCUCCCCGUCCCGCCAGCCAAGCGCGGGCCCUUGUGCGGGUGUUGUGGGGGUCGGGGCGGCUGGCCACCGGGCUGGUGAUGCUCGGACAGCCGAGACCGCUCCGUGCAGCCCGGGCCCUGGGGCUCCGCAGCCGGCAGUGACCGGGGGAGCGGCGGCCGCGGGGGGGCGGGGGGAGGAGGAGGAGAAGGCGGCGAAUCCUCGUCCGGCUGGCCGGGUGUGCGAGCACUAGUGGGAGCUGGAGAGGGCGAAAGGAGGGGAGAAAGCCCCAAACCACCCCGAGCCCGAGCAGAGCGGCUGCGAGCCGGGCGGCAAGGGGGGUGUGCGCCAGAGGCGGGCGGGGGGCGAGCGCGGCGGCAGCGCUGGGAGCGGCGGCAGCCCCGGCGGAGGAGACGGCAGCAGCCCCGGCGGAGGAGGCAGCCCCGCGGAGCCUUGGCAGGCGGUGAGCACGCCGAGGACGACGGAGGGCCCUGUGAACCUUUGGGAAGCGGGAAUGUGGGUGGAGUUCAUUUCUUUUGUUCCUGAGAGCUGAAUAGGAGAAAGGGACAUUUCAGCUUUUCUUGAUAAAGUAAUUAUUAGAAACGCUGUUCAUUUACAUAUGUUUAAAAAAAGAAGAAAUGUAUUGUGGAAGUCACUGUGUUGAUGCCAGAUCUUGGAUGCCUGAGCCCUGGGUGUUUUGGAGAGUCCAAAAGUGGCUGUUACCUUGUGAGGCUGUGCUCAUCAAUACUUGUCACUUCAUCUGCGCCCUGCAGCCCAGCCCAGCCCUGUGGAUUUGAACCAGGUCAGAUGUGAGAACUUGCUCAUGUGUUUGUCAGCCUGGCAGAGCACACAAUGAUGUAUUUAUAGCUGCCUUCUACCAGCUGCAGGAAGAAGGAUGAUACCUGAUCUGGUAGAAAAUCUACCAAGAUAAAAUUACCUUAAAAAAAAAAAAAAAGAAAAAAGAAAAAAAAUUAUUUAUGUCAGCAGAAUGGUUUGAUACCUGUUCAUGGUUUGCUCUUCUUUUUGUCAUGAGCUUUCAGUGCUUUCUUAGGUACUGAGCAUCCAGAAACUGUAGUUACCACCAUCUCAUUGAACAUCACUGAACGUAUUACAGUUAUUGAUACUGCAUAUUGUUAAUUAAUUAAUAUUAAAUAUUUGAACUGUUCUGAA
RNAcentral lists this long non-coding RNA (1405 nucleotides) under Parus major (Great Tit). RNAcentral's name for it is "lncRNA (ENSPMJG00000009411.1)". Lineage: Eukaryota; Metazoa; Chordata; Aves; Passeriformes; Paridae. The record is from RNAcentral.